RNAcentral lists this unclassified non-coding RNA (343 nucleotides) under soil metagenome. Its description in RNAcentral is "partial contains 5.8S ribosomal RNA, internal transcribed spacer 2, and large subunit ribosomal RNA". The stretch from base 1 to 120 matches the Rfam family "5.8S ribosomal RNA", at positions 35 to 154 of the family's 154-position model. The record is from RNAcentral.
GAUGAAGAACGUAGCGAAAUGCGAUAAGUAAUGUGAAUUGCAGAAUUCAGUGAAUCAUCGAAUCUUUGAACGCACAUUGCGCCCGCCAGCAUUCUGGCGGGCAUGCCUGUUCGAGCGUCAUUUCAACCCUCGAGCCCCCCCGGGGGCCUCGGUGUUGGGGGACGGCACACCAGCCGCCCCCGAAGUGCAGUGGCGACCCCGCCGCAGCCUCCCCUGCGUAGUAGCACACACCUCGCACCGGAGCGCGGAGGCGGUCACGCCGUAAAACGCCCAACUUUCUUAGAGUUGACCUCGGAUCAGGUAGGAAUACCCGCUGAACUUAAGCAUAUCAAUAAGCGGAGGA